Molecule: RNA transcript, 2022 nt
Organism: Medicago truncatula (barrel medic)
Lineage: Eukaryota; Viridiplantae; Streptophyta; Magnoliopsida; Fabales; Fabaceae
Gene name: 21 kDa protein
Exons: 3
Source: RefSeq, a predicted model, not a curated record
ACAAGUUUCUUUCCCCUUCAUGUUUUUCACUUUUAACUCUUUCCUUUUUCUGUCCUGUUUUUUGAAACAUUGUGUUUGCAUCAGGCUUGCCUUGAUUUGAAGCUGUAUAUAUUUUGUUGUUUUCCACUUCUUUGUCUAUAGUACAUCCUCUGUCGCUGAUAUUUGUUGUAGUAUCUUAUCUUGCUUGAUAACAUGUAAUUACCUCUUAAUUAUUUAACAUAUGAUAUUGGUUUUUGAAAUGAACAUAUGAAUCUGCUAUUAUUUUUCAUUAUGUGUUGCUAAUUAUCUGGCAGGAACAUAUGAAGUGUGUUACUUAUUUUUGCAAGUGGGCAUACUUAUGGAAUCACAUUGUAGCUUACUUUAUAUCAAGCUACUUUGCUAUGUUCUGCUCUAUUGACUUCGACCAAGACACAAAUAUUUUCUCAUUUCUCUAUAGUUUCUUUUUUAGGAAUCAUUUCUAUAUAGUUGUUUGCUCAUUAUUUGCAUUACUUUAUGAAGGCAGAGUGACAUAUGAGAAUGAUCAGAACCUUAAGGCGACUAAGCUUAGUUUGUGGCUUCUAGGGACAAAGGAAAAUGAGGAAGAAAAAGCAUUAUCUAUUACAGAACCUCUCUGUUGGUGUUUUCCUGUGUUUUUUUCGCUGCUGUUUUUCCGUUUUUCCCUCAGCUGUGCUGCUGGUCUUUCGGGUAUGCAGCUGGGAUUGGUAGGGUGUGUGUAUUGACAGGGGGCUUAUACUUUUGGUGAUUGUCUUGAGGAGAAUACCACACACUGUCAUUUAGUUAAGCUUAUGCAGUCAGUUACUUGACGAUGAGGUAAUCAUCAAAUUUGCUUUAGAUACCUACAAGACCAUAUUGACCACUUUAAACCUAAUUCUGAAAACUCAAUGAGAAUCAAAAUACACAAAGCCAAUUUUGCCAUAAUCUAAAAAUACUUCUGCAGGUACUCCUUAACUGCUUGCACUCAUAUUCUAAAAACUCUCUCACUCAAAUAAGUCUACGAAAUGGUUAAUCUUUUGCCUUGAAUUUUCUUGAAAAUCAACUUAUGUAAACCAGUGUUUUCAAUUUCAAGACAGUGUAUCACGACCGUUGUAUGUAAAUUGCAAAACAUGUAGAAGAGGCACUAAGGCCAAAAUGCAUAUCAUGACUGUCAUAUUUAUAAGAUAAACAGUGUUCUAUAAUAUAUCUGAUGUUUAUUUUGUACAAUACUAACUUAUUUGAUCAUGAACAUAUGUUUGUAUAGCGAGAGGGUAGGCUGCCUGCAUGCUUUGCAAGAGGGUUUGGUUUGCAAGUUGGUCCUUUUGUGAUAUUGCGUGAUCCAAACCAGAAUGAGAUUGAGGUAGCUGUGGAAAAGAGGAACGGGAAAGUUUAUUUUGAUGAUGGUUGGGCUGUUUUGAAGAAUUUUUACAGGAUUUUGGCUGGUUCUUGGAUCACUGUCAUUUUUGCAAAUCGACGCCUUUUUCUUAAUAUUUUGAGUUGUAAUCUGAGUUUAUUUGAACUUUGUGAUGUCGUUAUUUUUCUGUUCUACUCACGCAUCACAAGGUCCUUUUUGUUGUUGGUGUUUUGUCCUGAUAUCAAUUAAGAAUUUCAAAUUAUCUCGCUCACAACAUGGAUGAGUUUUUGCUAUAUUUUCCCUUUGUAUUUUGAGUACCAAAAUGGAUGAGUAGUGGCUGUUUUGUACUAAAAUAUCAAUUAUACUUAGUAUGUUGAGGUGUUAGAAUCCGGAUGAGUACAAUUCAGUGUUUCUUGAUAUUGCAUAUUGUUCAUGCACUUACUUUUUUUCUUGAGAAGUAAACAUUUAGUUCAGUUCUAGGAAAUCGAAUAAAGCCAUAUCCAGUCUUCUUGCAUAACCAUGCUCAGCCUACGGUUAAACUUUCUAUGAAUGGUACAAAGUGUUUCAAAUUAUUUUUAAUUGGAACGCCUUUCUUCAAAGGUAGGAAAGACACUCACUUCAAAUAUAUGCUCACCAAAGUCUGCAAACAUCACAAACUAUAUUUUGAUUAUUUAUUAUACGAACAUAAUUUUGUA